UACGAGGGGGGCAAGCGUUGUUCGGAAUUAUUGGGCGUAAAGGGUGCGUAGGCGGUCUGACAAGUCGGAUGUGAAAUCUAUGGGCUCAACCCAUAGUCUGCAUCGGAAACUGUCGGGCUUGAGUAUGGGAGAGGUGAGUGGAAUUUCCGGUGUAGCGGUGAAAUGCGUAGAUAUCGGAAGGAACACCUGUGGCGAAAGCGGCUCACUGGACCAUUACUGACGCUGAGGCACGAAAGCUAGGGGAGCAAACAGG
Molecule: ribosomal RNA, 253 nt
Filed under: uncultured bacterium
Lineage: Bacteria
Description: partial 16S ribosomal RNA
Rfam family: Bacterial small subunit ribosomal RNA
Source: RNAcentral